RNAcentral lists this unclassified non-coding RNA (406 nucleotides) under soil metagenome. RNAcentral describes it as "partial contains 5.8S ribosomal RNA, internal transcribed spacer 2, and large subunit ribosomal RNA". The stretch from base 1 to 121 matches the Rfam family "5.8S ribosomal RNA", at positions 35 to 154 of the family's 154-position model. The record is from RNAcentral.
GAUGAAGAACGUAGCGAAAUGCGAUAAGUAAUGUGAAUUGCAGAAUUCAGUGAAUCAUCGAAUCUUUGAACGCACCUUGCGCCCUUUGGCCAUUCCGAAGGGCAUGCCUGUUUGAGUAUCAUGAACACCUCAACUCUUCAUGGUUUUCCAUGAUGAGCUUGGACUUUGGGGGUCUUGCUGGCCUGUGGGUCGGCUCCUCUCAAAUGAAUCAGCUUGCCGGUUUUUGGUGGGCAUCACAGGUGUGAUAACUAUCUACGCUUGUGGUUUUCCACCAGGGUAACCUUCAGCAGUGGAGGUUCACUGGAGCUUACAAAUGUCUCGCCUCUGUGAGGACAGCCCUUUGAAUGUUUGAUCUCAAAUCAGGUAGGACUACCCGCUGAACUUAAGCAUAUCAAUAAGCGGAGGA